RNAcentral lists this ribosomal RNA (547 nucleotides) under uncultured bacterium. Its description in RNAcentral is "bacterial SSU rRNA". It matches the Rfam family "Bacterial small subunit ribosomal RNA", at positions 355 to 896 of the family's 1533-position model. The record is from RNAcentral.
UAGGGAAUUUUUCACAAUGAGCGAAAGCUUGAUGGAGCAAUGCCGCGUGAACGAUGAGGGUCUUUAAGAUUGUAAAGUUCUUUUAUUUGGGAAGAAUGACUUUAGCAGGUAAUGGCUAGAGUUUGACUGUACCAUUUUGAAUAAGUGACGACUAACUAUGUGCCAGCAGUCGCGGUAAUACAUAGGUCGCAAGCGUUAUCCGGAUUUAUUGGGCGUAAAGCAAGCGCAGGCGGAUUGAAAAGUCUGGUGUUAAAGGCAGCUGCUUAACAGUUGUAUGCAUUGGAAACUAUUAAUCUAGAGUGUGGUAGGGAGUUUUGGAAUUUCAUGUGGAGCGGUGAAAUGCGUAGAUAUAUGAAGGAACACCAGUGGCGAAGGCGAAAACUUAGGCCAUUACUGACGCUUAGGCUUGAAAGUGUGGGGAGCAAAUAGGAUUAGAUACCCUAGUAGUCCACACCGUAAACGAUAGAUACUAGCUGUCGGGGCGAUCCCCUCGGUAGUGAAGUUAACACAUUAAGUAUCUCGCCUGGGUAGUACAUUCGCAAGAAUG